This 419-nucleotide ribosomal RNA is filed under the name uncultured eukaryote. RNAcentral's name for it is "bacterial SSU rRNA". It matches the Rfam family "Eukaryotic small subunit ribosomal RNA", at positions 592 to 1017 of the family's 1831-position model. The record is from RNAcentral.
CAAUAGCGUAUAUUAAAGUUGUUGCGGUUAAAAGCUCGUAGUUGGAUUUCUGGAAAGGACGACCGGUCCACCCACUGGGUGAGAACAUGGUUCGGCUUGACCAUUUUCUUGGAGAACACUGCUGCGCUUCAAUGUGUGGGGUGGUAUCCAAGACUUUUACUUGAGGAAAUUAGAGUGUUUCAAGCAGGCGCACGCCCUGAACACAUUAGCAUGGAAUAAUGAGAUAGGACCUUGGUUCUAUUUUGUUGGUUUCUAGGACCGAAGUAAUGAUUAAUAGGGACAGUUGGGGGCAUUCAUAUUCCAUUGUCAGAGGUGAAAUUCUUGGAUUAACGGAAGAUGAACUUCUGCGAAAGCAUCUGCCAAGGAUGUUUUCAUUAAUCAAGAACGAAAGUUGGGGGCUCGAAGACGAUCAGAUACCA